Oncorhynchus tshawytscha (Chinook salmon) is the source of this 1159-nucleotide long non-coding RNA. Lineage: Eukaryota; Metazoa; Chordata; Actinopteri; Salmoniformes; Salmonidae. The record is from Ensembl.
CAAGAACUGCAUGUACUUUAGUUUUUUGUUUUUAAGCGUAUUUGAGAUUAUCUGUAUAAUGGAAAGCGCUAUAUAAAAUAAAUCUAUUAUUAUUACAGUUAUAAGGUUCCAUUCUAUCAUCACAUUGCAGUGCAAACUCAUUGGACUGUAAUUGUAUAGUACCAUAGUUACCGUUUAGCACAGGGAUAGUUAAGCACUGGUGUAGAGAAUGGCUACUAUAAUAGAUUUAUGUGCCACUGCCAGACAUAGUGAUCAAAAGGCAGCGUGUAGCGCCCGAGGAAUAAUAGCACCUGGUCUGGGUUAACAACCAUCAUAACUGCUUUUAAUGGGUAUUUGGAACAUGUGAAAUAUAGGUAACACAUUUGCUGUUUAAAUUUGUUUUAAAGCCAAUCGACUGAGAUUGAGCAGACACUUAUAGGAAAACUCCACCCAAAAACUAUAUUUUGGUAUUUGUUUCAUUAGUCAAUUGUUGACAUAGUUUUUGAUAUAUACAUGUUUUGCAUGUCAGCAAUCAGGUUUUCAAGAUAUACAACUUGCAAGAUACAGAAAUACAGCCGUUACGAUCUAUUUCGCAUCAUAUGCUGCUGCGUAUUUCUGUAUUUUUAAUGUUAUACAUCUUGAAAGCUUGAUUGCUGAAAUGCAAAACAUUUUGGGACUAUAUCAACAAUGGACUAAUGAAACAAAUAGCAAAAUAUAGUUUUUGGGUGGAAUUCUUUUCCUUUAAGAUAAACAUUCAUUCACAAUUACAUGCUCUUAAUGUCAUGUUUGCCUCAGCAGCGUCAGUAACUGACGUUUAAGUUCCUUAACAUUCAAAUCCAUUCUCUGGCAUCUUUCUAUGUCUGAUUUUUGAAUAAUGUAAAUACUUUUGACUGUCUGUUAUCAUGUGUAAUAUGUUAUAAUCUGUAAAUAGUAUAAAUGCAUACAGCUGGUUACACAAUCUAGAUGUCACAGGUCACCUUACAUUUAGAUCUGAACACUAAAGUUAGGACAUUUUUUAUUUGCUUGUUUUGUGUUCUUGUUUUCCACAAUGUUUCCAUGUUGUUUUUCUUUAAAGUGUUUUUGAUACUAUGUGCCAUCUGUUUACCAAUGAUUCAGCUGGCAAACAAGAAAAACAUUUUGUAUUAUAUGAUCCUCUGUAUAUUUAAUUAAAAUAUUUUAC